UGAUGCAGCAACGCCGCGUGAGUGAUGACGGCCUUCGGGUUGUAAAGCUCUGUCUUCAGGGACGAUAAUGACGGUACCUGAGGAGGAAGCCACGGCUAACUACGUGCCAGCAGCCGCGGUAAUACGUAGGUGGCGAGCGUUGUCCGGAUUUACUGGGCGUAAAGGGAGCGUAGGCGGAUUUUUAAGUGAGAUGUGAAAUACUCGGGCUUAACCUGAGUGCUGCAUUUCAAACUGGAAGUCUAGAGUGCAGGAGAGGAGAAGGGAAUUCCUAGUGUAGCGGUGAAAUGCGUAGAGAUUAGGAAGAACACCAGUGGCGAAGGCGCUUCUCUGGACUGUAACUGACGCUGAGGCGCGAAAGCGUGGGGAGCAAACAGGAUUAGAUACCCUGGUAGUCCACGCUGUAAACGAUGAAUACUAGGUGUGGGAGGACUGACCCCUUCCGUGCCGCAGUUAACACAAUAAGUAUUCCACCUGGAGAGUACGACCGCAAGGUUGAAACUCAAAGGAAUUGACGGGGGCCCGCACAAGCAGUGGAUUAUGUGGUUUAAUUCGACGCAACGCGAAGAACCUUACCAGGAUUUGACAUCCAACUAACGAAGUAGAGAUACAUUAGGUGCCCUUCGGGGAAAGUUGAGACAGGUGGUGCAUGGUUGUCGUCAGCUCGUGUCGUGAGAUGUUGGGUUAAGUCCCGCAACGAGCGCAACCCUUAUUGUUAGUUGCCAUCAUUAAGUUGGGCACUCUAGCGAGACUGCCCGGGUUAACCGGGAGGAAGGUGGGGAUGACGUCAAAUCAUCAUGCCCCUUAUGUCUAGGGCUACACACGUGCUACAAUGGUCGGUACAAUAAGACGCAAGCCCGCGAGGGGGAGCAAAACUGGAAAACCGAUCUCAGUUCGGAUUGUAGGCUGAAACUCGCCUACAUGAAGCUGGAGUUGCUAGUAAU
Molecule: ribosomal RNA, 941 nt
Filed under: uncultured bacterium
Lineage: Bacteria
Description: bacterial SSU rRNA
Rfam family: Bacterial small subunit ribosomal RNA
Source: RNAcentral